ACCCAGCUGACGAGUCCCAAAUAGGAUGAAACUUGCGUCCCGGAU
Non-coding RNA from Schistosoma mansoni, 45 nucleotides. The record is from Rfam. Lineage: Eukaryota; Metazoa; Platyhelminthes; Trematoda; Strigeidida; Schistosomatidae.